This is a long non-coding RNA of Homo sapiens (human), 472 nucleotides long. The record is from Ensembl. Lineage: Eukaryota; Metazoa; Chordata; Mammalia; Primates; Hominidae.
UCUUGGAGCAGCGGGAUUAGCUUCUAAAGUCUCUUUCAUCUCUCCUAAGGAAGAAGCCUAGAAGAGGAGGAAGAGGAAAGAAAAGGAGUCAGGAAUGCCUCUUAGUGACUGGUGCUGUGGAAUUUGUGAAGAGGCUCCAUUGGGAAGGGCUUAUACCCAGACAUGGAUGGAGACGGGGUGUGGGCCCCAUGGUGUCACUGCUCUUGGGCAGCAGGAAUUGAAGGAUUGUUUAAGGGCCAGGUCUGGAGGCACUGCCAGCUCUGUAGACUGGAUUAUGGAAGCUGCUCGUGGAAGUCUUAAUGUGCACAACUGCCUGAUAAAAUUUGGAAGAAGAGAUUAGGAAGAGGAAAUCUUUUCUGCCUGAUUUUAUACUCCAUUUGUAGUAAAUGUUUAACAGCAAGAGAUUCUUUAAACCAUUCUAAGUACAUCCAUCCUAUGGAGAUUGUGGUAUUCCUGCAGAGACUCUUGUGAA